UAGCCGUAAACGAUACUCGCUGGGUGUCGGCCACGGUGCGACCGUUGUCGGUGCCGUAGGGAAGCCGUGAAGCGAGCCACCUGGGAAGUACGGCCGCAAGGCUGAAACUUAAAGGAAUUGGCGGGGGAGCACAACAACGGGUGGAGCUUGCGGUUUAAUUGGAUUCAACGCCGGAAAUCUUACCGGGACCGACAGCAACAUGAAGGCCAGGCUGAAGACUUUGCCGGAUUAGCUGAGAGGUGGUGCAUGGCGUAGUCGUGU
This 261-nucleotide ribosomal RNA is filed under the name uncultured archaeon. RNAcentral describes it as "partial 16S ribosomal RNA". It matches the Rfam family "Archaeal small subunit ribosomal RNA", at positions 748 to 1009 of the family's 1478-position model. The record is from RNAcentral.